Mangifera indica (mango) is the source of this 298-nucleotide long non-coding RNA. RefSeq lists it as uncharacterized. Lineage: Eukaryota; Viridiplantae; Streptophyta; Magnoliopsida; Sapindales; Anacardiaceae. The transcript is spliced from 3 exons. The record is from RefSeq and is a predicted model, not a curated record.
UCGUCGCAUUGCUCGUCAAAAGAAGGCCGUGAAGAUCUUCCCUCGUCCGACGGCAGGCCCUCUUCGCCCCAUCGUUCAUGGGCAGACUUUGAAGUACAAUAUGAAGCUCAGGGCUGGGAGAGGCUUCACGCUUGAAGAGGUUAAAGCUGCAGGUAUUCCCAAGAAGCUUGCUCCAACCAUCGGUAUAUCAGUUGAUCAUCAUUGUAAGAACAAAUCUCUGGAGAACCUCCAAGCCAACGUUCAGAGGCCGAAGACUUACAAGGCCAAAUUGGUAGUCUUCCCAAGACGUGCUUGCAAG